CCAGUCGCCAUCUCCACUUUGGCCAAAUAUCGGGGUUGCCAAGGACAUCCAGGCCAAGAUGAGCUUCAUCCAAAACUGCCACAUGGUAGCCUGAGCAGAGAAAGAUGGACAACCAUCUAAACUGCACAAAAAUCCAGUAUGCGGAGGAGACGCAAGUGUGACGUUUGUUCAUUUUAAGGAGGUAGUGGCACUUUUUGAAAAGCUCUGUAAAUAAGAUGAAUUUAUGGCUGGAAACAUCUUGGAAAUAUAAAGUAGAGUACUUGCUCACAAUCACUGGCUCUAAUGUUUUUGUUGUUUUUUUCAGCUGUCACUUUUAAGCGCUCUACUCUUCACAUCUGGUCCAUCAGCAGAGCUCGUACUCCAAUUUACCUGUUUUCAGUUCUACUUUUUGUAUCUUCAGCACUGUGCAAAUGGCAAUAAUGUUUGUUCAAAAUCACUUUCUCAAGACGUAAUGAUACUGAAAUAUUUCCAGAAAUGUUCAUCUUCUUUAUAUUCUUUUCCACAAACCAGCUGAGAAGUAAAUGUGGCUACGAUUCUUCUCCAAUACUUACAAGGUUCAUAAAUCUGACUCUCUGAAUGUCACACUGCAUAUUUUAGCAGCAAUCAUAUUUUUCUAUGUACAAUUUAUCAGGCAACCUUUUUUUGGUUGAACUUUUGUUAAAUGCCACAUGCAGAUUAUAAAAUAAUAUAUACACAGUAUGUCUUAUUUUGCUACAUACAGGUUGCUGCUAUCUGAGUGACUUCUAUUUAAUAGAAAGACUUGCUUUAGAGACUCUUACUACGGGUAAGUAAAUCUAUCCAUCUACCAAUUAAAUUCAGUUUACUAUACAAGUCAUUUUAUCUGCACAAACAAUUUUUCUUUCUUUUCGUUUGAGGUCUCUAAAUGUGCAGAGCUGGUAGAGGAAUAUCACAAAAUCCUUCCGGCUGUCACUGCAGCAGAGGGUUAGGCUACAGCGUCGGUUCGGACUAAAUACACACUUGUGCAACAAUUUUCCUCCCUCUUUACAACUGCACACUAUUUUAAUCAAUAACAUAAAGUCUCAUUGUCUAUACUCGCCUAUACCUGCAUGGUCACAUGGAGUCUGGUGCCUAUCUACAAUAGUCACUGCGUUAGAGGCAUGGAUACAUCCUGGACAUGCAGUCAGUCCAUCACAUGGUAACCCAAAGGCACAGGACAAACAACCAUGAACACACACUUGUUGCUAAGCCCAUUUAACUUAUAUAUUUGGGCUAUGGGAACAAGCCAGAGUACCCAGAGAGAACUCUCGUGUGCAAUGUCCGGAAAAUGCAAACUCCAUGCAGAAAGAUCUGGAAUCAAGACCAGUAUCUUUUUCCUGCAAGGCAGCAGUUCUAACAACUGCACAACCAUGCAACCCCUUCAAAAUAUGUGUAUGAAAUCUCAAAUGUAUUUUGGAAUCCUCAGAAGAUUAAAAUUUUACUGUAAAUGGAUGCAUCAACAGUUAUCAUGUCUCUCUAUUUCUGUUGUGAGAAGUAAAAUGGUUAAAUUUAGUCUUUCAGUGGAUUUAUAUCAUUGUUAUAUAAAACGUUAUUGCACAAAACUGUGCCGCCUCAGCUGUGGAGUAGUAAUAAGCUUUUCACAUUCUGUGGCUAGACUAUGUGGUGACUCGUGUCACGCCAAGGCUGUGAAAGCUGAAACUUCUCCUUACAGUACAGUUUCUGUUGUUUCCAGUGGCUUUCUAAGGAUCUUUCUUGUGAAUGUGAAGUCAGGAAGUUGUUUUUUUUGUUUUUCUGGAUACAAAAAGAAACAAUCUGGGUUUUUUUUUUCAAACUACAGUUUUUGAUUAACUUAUGUGGCUAUCUAGGUUUCUCACUUCAGCAUCUGGAAAUGGAAAAUAUUUAAAGGCAUCCACCCUAAACUGCUUACAGAGAUCUUUCUGCUGUCAGAUCACAUUUGGAUUUGGCUCAAACCUUUUUAAACUCCUCAAAGCUGAGAGGAAAGUCUGGUUAGUUAUUAGCUAUCAGUACAUCUUGUUCUGAAAUCUGCUGAAACAUACAUAAUAAAAUAGAGUGCUUAUUUUAAGGCAACUCGUGGUGUGGAAAGACACCCAGACACUCAUAAAACAACCGAGAGGGUUCCCUCUGCGUUUAAAUGGCAACUUCAAUUAAGUUUCAGUGGUUUUUUGUGGAAAUAUGUUCAAAUAGGAUUACUUUGGGACAACGAGGUAUAUAUACUGAUAUCAUAGUAAUGCUUUUUUGCGGAUGUUUAUGGUUACAGUUGGGAUGACCUGACAUGUAAAAUAAAAGCAGAUUUAAUGA
Molecule: long non-coding RNA, 2277 nt
Organism: Xiphophorus hellerii (green swordtail)
Lineage: Eukaryota; Metazoa; Chordata; Actinopteri; Cyprinodontiformes; Poeciliidae
Exons: 2
Source: RefSeq, a predicted model, not a curated record